Molecule: ribosomal RNA, 509 nt
Filed under: uncultured bacterium
Lineage: Bacteria
Description: partial 16S ribosomal RNA
Rfam family: Bacterial small subunit ribosomal RNA
Source: RNAcentral
GACGAACGCUGGCGGCGUGCUUAACACAUGCAAGUCGAACGAAGAGCGAUGGAAGCUUGCUUCUAUCAAUCUUAGUGGCGCACGGGUGAGUAACGCGUAAUCAACCUGCCCUUCAGAGGGGGACAACAGUUGGAAACGACUGCUAAUACCGCAUACGAUCUAACCUCGGCAUCGAGGAAAGAUGAAAGGUGGCCUCUAUGUAUAAGCUAUCACUGAAGGAGGGGAUUGCGUCUGAUUAGCUAGUUGGAGGGGUAACGGCCCACCAAGGCGAUGAUCAGUAGCCGGUCUGAGAGGAUGAACGGCCACAUUGGGACUGAGACACGGCCCAGACUCCUACGGGAGGCAGCAGUGGGGAAUCUUCCGCAAUGGACGAAAGUCUGACGGAGCAACGCCGCGUGAGUGAUGACGGCCUUCGGGUUGUAAAGCUCUGUUACUCGGGACGAAAGGCCUUCUUGCGAAUAGUGAGAAGGAUUGACGGUACCGGAAUAGAAAGCCACGGCUAACUACGU